GCCGAAGUGGCGGAACUGGCAGACGCGCCGGACUCAAAAUCCGGUGGUGCUCAAACACCGUGUGGGUUCAAGUCCCUCCUUCGGCA
This 86-nucleotide transfer RNA is filed under the name Candidatus Abzuiibacterium crystallinum. RNAcentral's name for it is "Candidatus Omnitrophica bacterium CG11_big_fil_rev_8_21_14_0_20_45_26 tRNA-Leu". It matches the Rfam family "tRNA". Rfam says of the family: Transfer RNA (tRNA) molecules are approximately 80 nucleotides in length. Their secondary structure includes four short double-helical elements and three loops (D, anti-codon, and T loops). Further hydrogen bonds mediate the characteristic L-shaped molecular structure. tRNAs have two regions of fundamental functional importance: the anti-codon, which is responsible for specific mRNA codon recognition, and the 3' end, to which the tRNAs corresponding amino acid is attached (by aminoacyl-tRNA synthetases). tRNAs cope with the degeneracy of the genetic code in two manners: having more than one tRNA (with a specific anti-codon) for a particular amino acid; and 'wobble' base-pairing, i.e. permitting non-standard base-pairing at the 3rd anti-codon position. RNAcentral also lists the same sequence under 1 other name. The record is from RNAcentral. Lineage: Bacteria; Pseudomonadati; Candidatus Omnitrophota.